UCGCACAAGUUUGAUCUAAACCCGGGAAGACCAGACUAGCCUGUGAACUUUCUUUACUCAUGGAACUAGAUUAACUCCACAAUGUCAACAGGGAGAAAGAGAAGAGCCGAUAUCUGGACACAUUUCUCAUUUGACGUCGUGAAAAACAAGACGAUGUGUAAACCAUGUGGGGUGACGAUCUCGGGGCGGCACGGUGGCUAAGUGGGUUGCGCUGUCGCCUCACAGCAAGAAGGUCCUGGGUUCGAACCCCAGGUGGGGCGGUCCGGGUCCUUUGUGUGUGGAGUUUGCAUGUUCUCCCCCGUGUCUGCGUGAGUUUCCUCCGGGUGCUCCGGUUUCCUCCCACAGCCCAAAGACGUGCAAGUGAGGUGAAUUGAAGAUACUAAAUUUGUCCAUGACUGUGUUCGAUAUAACCUUGUGAAUCGAAUAAACUUGUGUAAUGAAUAA
Trichomycterus rosablanca is the source of this 444-nucleotide long non-coding RNA. RefSeq lists it as uncharacterized. NCBI's taxonomy places the organism in Eukaryota, Metazoa, Chordata, Actinopteri, Siluriformes, Trichomycteridae. The record is from RefSeq and is a predicted model, not a curated record. The transcript has 2 exons.